UACCCCCGAUCAAGCAAGAAGACCCGCUGAA
RNAcentral lists this ribosomal RNA (31 nucleotides) under Sargassum fallax. RNAcentral's name for it is "partial 26S ribosomal RNA". The record is from RNAcentral. Lineage: Eukaryota; Phaeophyceae; Fucales; Sargassaceae.